UUAAGUUCAGCGGGUAUCCCUACCUGAUCCGAGGUCAAAUUUUGGAAGUGGCUUCUGGAUGCCAAAGAAACAAGUGACCCGAGUUUCGCAAAUGUGCUGCGCUCGAAGCCAAUGUAACCGGCCGCCAAUGCAUUUGAGGCGAGUCCGCACCGAGGCGGGACAGGCGCCCAUCACAAGCAGAGCUUGAGUGUGGAAAUGAC
This 200-nucleotide unclassified non-coding RNA is filed under the name Sporormia sp. RNAcentral's name for it is "partial internal transcribed spacer 2". The record is from RNAcentral. Lineage: Eukaryota; Fungi; Ascomycota; Dothideomycetes; Pleosporales; Sporormiaceae.